Molecule: long non-coding RNA, 468 nt
Organism: Actinia tenebrosa (Australian red waratah sea anemone)
Lineage: Eukaryota; Metazoa; Cnidaria; Anthozoa; Actiniaria; Actiniidae
Source: RefSeq, a predicted model, not a curated record
CUGUACAGCAAAUUUCGAAGUAAACUUUGAAUUUACAAUGCAAAAAAAAACUAAUGUAAAUCAACGUAAAUUUGGUCUUUACUGAACGUUUCCUUGUAAUUUCCUGCAAGCGUAAAUCUGUUUUUUCUCCCAGUGAAGAAUUCACGGCCGCGUUAACAUUGACUGUUUGAAAUACCGGUCAGAACUGAAAAAAGGCUACUUGAAUCUCACAGCCAAUUACAUUUCUUUUCUUCCAGGAAUAACCGAGGCCUGCAGCUCUCAAAUGAAAGACGCAACUUCUGCUAGUAGCGAUGAAAAAAUUAUUGAACAGCAAAAGGAAAAGAUCUCUGCUUUGGAGGAAGAAAUAAACAACCUAAAGCAAGAAAUAGUGACUUGAAAGAAAAACUUUCGAAGCAACCAGAGGAAAUGACGAACUUGAGCGAAAUGCUGCAGAGGGAUGAAAGUUUCAAUGACAACGCCAGUGUAACU